UACGGGGGGGGUAAGCGUUGUUCGGAAUUACUGGGCGUAAAGCGCGUGUAGGCGGCAAUGCAAGUCGGGCGUGAAAUCCCACGGCUCAACCGUGGAAGUGCACUCGAAACUGCAUAGCUAGAGUCCUGGAGAGGAAGGUGGAAUGCUUGGUGUAGAGGUGAAAUUCGUAGAUAUCAAGCGGAACACCGGUGGCGAAGGCGGCCUUCUGGACAGUGACUGACGCUGAGACGCGAAAGCGUGGGGAGCAAACAGG
This 253-nucleotide ribosomal RNA is filed under the name uncultured bacterium. RNAcentral's name for it is "partial 16S ribosomal RNA". It matches the Rfam family "Bacterial small subunit ribosomal RNA", at positions 524 to 776 of the family's 1533-position model. The record is from RNAcentral.